Molecule: long non-coding RNA, 425 nt
Organism: Arabidopsis thaliana (thale cress)
Lineage: Eukaryota; Viridiplantae; Streptophyta; Magnoliopsida; Brassicales; Brassicaceae
Product: other RNA
Exons: 1
Source: RefSeq
AAGAACCGGAUCAUAUUGGCGAUCUACAAGCAUGAAACUUUCUCAUUACAUUUUUGACAUUGUAGAAAGAAACAGACUUUGCAGUAUAGAGCACAUAGAGAUAGGCCUCAUUCUAUUUCAUGUUUACAAAUGAUAUGUGUCAAAAGGCUGAUACAAAGUAGCCUAACCUUAUGUUUCUGACACAGUUGGAUCCAAUAAUAUACUAAUUGCUGGGAAAAAGAUAGCAAAACUACCCUACAUAAUGGUGACUUUGAUCCAUGAUGAAAAGGGUGCGUGGAAGCAAGUAAGAUAGUCAAUAAUGGCAUUAAACAUAAGGGGCUCAAUAAAGUGGAGGAGUACAAGUCAUGAAUCCUUUGAUUACGACUUAAACAAGACAGUACAGACAUAGCAGUUAAGAUGAGUAACAUUACAAGUAAACUGGAUUU